RNAcentral lists this transfer RNA (74 nucleotides) under Alkaliphilus crotonatoxidans. RNAcentral's name for it is "tRNA-Cys". It matches the Rfam family "tRNA". Rfam says of the family: Transfer RNA (tRNA) molecules are approximately 80 nucleotides in length. Their secondary structure includes four short double-helical elements and three loops (D, anti-codon, and T loops). Further hydrogen bonds mediate the characteristic L-shaped molecular structure. tRNAs have two regions of fundamental functional importance: the anti-codon, which is responsible for specific mRNA codon recognition, and the 3' end, to which the tRNAs corresponding amino acid is attached (by aminoacyl-tRNA synthetases). tRNAs cope with the degeneracy of the genetic code in two manners: having more than one tRNA (with a specific anti-codon) for a particular amino acid; and 'wobble' base-pairing, i.e. permitting non-standard base-pairing at the 3rd anti-codon position. RNAcentral also lists the same sequence under 6 other names. The record is from RNAcentral. Lineage: Bacteria; Bacillati; Bacillota; Clostridia; Peptostreptococcales; Natronincolaceae.
GGCGGCAUAGCCAAGUGGUAAGGCAGAGGUCUGCAAAACCUUUAUCCCCAGUUCAAAUCUGGGUGUCGCCUCCA